UACGGAGGGGGCUAGCGUUGUUCGGAAUUACUGGGCGUAAAGCGCACGUAGGCGGCUUUGUAAGUUAGAGGUGAAAGCCCGGAGCUCAACUCCGGAACUGCCUUUAAGACUGCAUCGCUUGAAUCAUGGAGAGGUCAGUGGAAUUCCGAGUGUAGAGGUGAAAUUCGUAGAUAUUCGCAAGAACACCAGUGGCGAAGGCGGCUCACUGGCCCGGUACUGACGCUGAGGCACGAAAGCGUGGGGAGCAAACAGG
Molecule: ribosomal RNA, 253 nt
Filed under: uncultured bacterium
Lineage: Bacteria
Description: partial 16S ribosomal RNA
Rfam family: Bacterial small subunit ribosomal RNA
Source: RNAcentral